Molecule: ribosomal RNA, 318 nt
Filed under: uncultured bacterium
Lineage: Bacteria
Description: bacterial SSU rRNA
Rfam family: Bacterial small subunit ribosomal RNA
Source: RNAcentral
AACGAACGCUGGCGGCGCGCCUAAUACAUGCAAGUCGAGCGAGAAGACGUAGCAAUACGUUUGUAAAGCGGCGAACGGGUGAGGAAUACAUGGGUAACCUACCCUCGAGUGGGGAAUAACUAGCCGAAAGGUUAGCUAAUACCGCGUACGCUCCUUGGACUUCGGUUCAGGGAGGAAAGCGAUACCGUGGGUAUCGCGCUCUUGGAUGGGCUCAUGUCCUAUCAGCUUGUUGGUGAGGUAACGGCUCACCAAGGCUUCGACGGGUAGCUGGUCUGAGGGGACGAUCAGCCACACUGGCACUGCGACACGGGCCAGACU